This 429-nucleotide ribosomal RNA is filed under the name Chloroflexota bacterium. RNAcentral's name for it is "Chloroflexi bacterium partial 16S ribosomal RNA". It matches the Rfam family "Bacterial small subunit ribosomal RNA", at positions 355 to 776 of the family's 1533-position model. Lineage: Bacteria; Bacillati; Chloroflexota. The record is from RNAcentral.
UGGGGAAUAUUGCACAAUGGGCGCAAGCCUGAUGCAGCCAUGCCGCGUGUAUGAAGAAGGCCUUCGGGUUGUAAAGUACUUUCAGCGGGGAGGAAGGGAGUAAAGUUAAUACCGUUGCUCAUUGACGUUACCCGCAGAAGAAGCACCGGCUAACUCCGUGCCAGCAGCCGCGGUAAUACGGAGGGUGCAAGCGUUAAUCGGAAUUACUGGGCGUAAAGCGCACGCAGGCGGUUUGUUAAGUCAGAUGUGAAAUCCCCGGGCUCAACCUGGGAACUGCAUCUGAUACUGGCAAGCUUGAGUCUCGUAGAGGGGGGUAGGAUUCCAGGUGUAGCGGUGAAAUGCGUAGAGAUCUGGAGGAAUACCGGUGGCGAAGGCAGCCCCCUGAACAAAGACUGACGCUCAGGUGCGAAAGCGUGGGGAGCAAACAGG